This 497-nucleotide ribosomal RNA is filed under the name uncultured bacterium. RNAcentral describes it as "partial 16S ribosomal RNA". It matches the Rfam family "Bacterial small subunit ribosomal RNA", at positions 28 to 507 of the family's 1533-position model. The record is from RNAcentral.
GACGAACGCUGGCGGCGUGCCUAAUACAUGCAAGUUGAGCGCUGAAGGUUGGUACUUGUACCAACUGGAUGAGCAGCGAACGGGUGAGUAACGCGUGGGGAAUCUGCCUUUGAGCGGGGGACAACAUUUGGAAACGAAUGCUAAUACCGCAUAAAAACUUUAAACACAAGUUUUAAGUUUGAAAGAUGCAAUUGCAUCACUCAAAGAUGAUCCCGCGUUGUAUUAGCUAGUUGGUGGGGUAAAGGCUCACCAAGGCGAUGAUACAUAGCCGACCUGAGAGGGUGAUCGGCCACAUUGGGACUGAGACACGGCCCAAACUCCUACGGGAGGCAGCAGUAGGGAAUCUUCGGCAAUGGACGAAAGUCUGACCGAGCAACGCCGCGGGAGUGAAGAAGGUUUUCGGAUCGUAAAACUCUGUUGGUAGAGAAGAACGUUGGUGAGAGUGGAAAGCUCAUCAAGUGACGGUAACUACCCAGAAAGGGACGGCUAACUACGUG